Molecule: long non-coding RNA, 770 nt
Organism: Leopardus geoffroyi (Geoffroy's cat)
Lineage: Eukaryota; Metazoa; Chordata; Mammalia; Carnivora; Felidae
Exons: 2
Source: RefSeq, a predicted model, not a curated record
ACAUUCCUUCUAAGAACAGUUUUUGAGCAUUUAAAAUGCAUGAAACCCUGUGCUAGGCGAAGAUGAAUCAGCCCCCUGCCCUUUGGAGUCAAUCUAACUAAAGAAAGAGACACAUAAACAAAUAAUCAUAAUAGAGAAUCCUAUGCAACAAUGGAAUGUAAAAUUCUAACCUUGAACCUGAAAGGAAAGUCAAUGAGCCCCACAGAGAAAAGGACACAGAAUCCUUUAUAUCUGUUUUCCAAGACUUUCACCCUGAAGUGACUUCUAAGUUUCAAGAUAGGGGACACUCCACAAGAUUUAAAAUAAAAGCUUUUCCACCAAAAGAAAUAUGCAACCAAUUAUGAGGUUUGGUGCAAGAAGGCCCUUCAUCAGAAGCAGUGGCAGAUUUGGAUUUCUGUUGGGAUUUGCUGGUCAGUGAUGUCUCCCCAGGCUUUAGAAAAACAAAAACAAUUCAAACAAAAUCAUCUCUUAUACGUUCUUCAACCUGAGAACAGUGUGGCAAGUAGGUGAGAAAUAUCUCUAUCAUGUAAUAUUAAUAUUCAAUUAAGUAGCAAAAGUUCAAGAGCCAAUCAAGCAUUGUUAGUCAGGAGUGGUGACUUUCUUUCCCUGCUUCAAGGGCAUUCGUAGAAAAACCCAAUGGCACCGCCUCACAAAUUGUUGAAAUUGCACUUAAUAAAAUAUACCGUACCAUAUUGACAUAAUUGGCCAUUUCAAACACCCUCUUUCUUAUUUCUUCUGGAUCUUGAUUGUGCUUUUUAAACUACAAACAA